This is a long non-coding RNA of Onychomys torridus (southern grasshopper mouse), 664 nucleotides long. RefSeq lists it as uncharacterized. The record is from RefSeq and is a predicted model, not a curated record. NCBI's taxonomy places the organism in Eukaryota, Metazoa, Chordata, Mammalia, Rodentia, Cricetidae. The transcript is spliced from 3 exons.
UUUCCUUUUGUGGUGCCUUGGAGAGCCAGGGCUGCACCCAGGGGCCUGAGAAGGACUGCACAGCACAUCCCCUGGAUGGUUGUAGUGACCUUUGCUCACAGAAACAGUGCCGCUGCCCAUCACACCCUCAUCCCUAUCUGCAGAGGAAGAGCUAGCCUUUCUUUUUGUUUUAGAGCCCUCACAGGUGGUCCCAGGAGGAAGUGGUCAAUGCUUGCCUGUGGCACCAACUUUUCCCUGUGUCGGUGGGAGUGUUCCUGAGGCUGCAGGUCAGCCAGACACCACCGGUCUUGCAGAGGGAAAAGACCAGGAAUGGGCUGCUUACUCUCUCAGCCCUACAGCGCACUAGACACAGUAUAGAACCCUUCUUUUCAAGAGCCUUGGAAGGUUUGCUGAAGCUCCAGCCCUCAACUGCUUCAUACAAAGUCCAAGGCUGGCAGGACUGCCAUCGCUCAGGAAGGUACUGCCCACUGCAGGCUCCCUGUGCCUGCCCUGAGUAUAGGAGAGUGGGCCCCUAAGCAGCCCAGAGCCUACUACUGACCCUGCUACUCUGAUCUUCCUUCCGUCUCAAGUCCUGGUAUUUACUGUGCCCUCCCCACCAAUUGCCCAAGGUGCUGAGAUGACAGAUGUUACAGGUAUUUGCCACCAUGCCUAAUGUGAUGUUGCC